RNAcentral lists this unclassified non-coding RNA (253 nucleotides) under plant metagenome. Its description in RNAcentral is "partial contains small subunit ribosomal RNA, internal transcribed spacer 1, and 5.8S ribosomal RNA". The record is from RNAcentral.
UUUCCGUAGGUGAACCUGCGGAAGGAUCAUUAACGAGUUAGGGUCUUCUAGGCCCGACCUCCCAACCCUAUGUUUAUUGAACCUCUGUUGCUUCGGCGGACCCGCCUCACGGCCGCCGGAGGACCGCUGCAAGGCGUCCUCUGGCCAGCGUCCGCCGAUGGCCAACCACUUAAACUCUGAAUGAAUCGUGUCAUGUGUCUAAGUCUAUGAUUAAAUUAAAGCAAAACUUUCAACAACGGAUCUCUUGGUUCUG